CUGGCUCAGAUUGAACGCUGCGGCAGGCCUAACACAUGCAAGUCGAACGGUAACAGGGAAGCAGCUUGCUGCUUCGCUGACGAGUGGCGGACGGGUGGAGUAAUGUCUGGGAAACUGCCUGAUGGAGGGGGGAUAACUACUGGAAACGGUAGCUAAUACCGCAUAACGUCGCAAGACCAAAGAGGGGGACCUUCGGGCCUCUUGCCAUCAGAUGUGCCCAGAUGGGAUUAGCUAGUUGGUGGGGUAACGGCUCACCAAGGCGACGAUCCCUAGCUGGUCUGAGAGGAUGACCAGCCACACUGGAACUGAGACACGGUCCAGACUCCUACGGGAGGCAGCAGUGGGGAAUAUUGCACAAUGGGCGCAAGCCUGAUGCAGCCAUGCCGCGUGUAUGAAGAAGGCCUUCGGGUUGUAAAGUACUUCAGCGGGGAGGAAGGUGUUGUGGUUAAUAACCGCAGCAAUUGACGUUACCCGCAGAAGAAGCACCGGCUAACUCCGUGCCAGCCGCCGC
RNAcentral lists this ribosomal RNA (511 nucleotides) under uncultured bacterium. RNAcentral's name for it is "bacterial SSU rRNA". It matches the Rfam family "Bacterial small subunit ribosomal RNA", at positions 19 to 518 of the family's 1533-position model. The record is from RNAcentral.